AUUGAACGCUGGCGGCAGGCCUAACACAUGCAAGUCGAGCGGCAGCGGAAAGUAGCUUGCCACUUUGCCGGCGAGCGGCGGACGGGUGAGUAAUGUCUGGGAAACUGCCUGAUGGAGGGGGAUAACUACUGGAAACGGUAGCUAAUACCGCAUGACCUCGAAAGAGCAAAGUGGGGGAUCUUCGGACCUCACGCCAUCGGAUGUGCCCAGAUGGGAUUAGCUAGUAGGUGAGGUAAUGGCUCACCUAGGCGACGAUCCCUAGCUGGUCUGAGAGGAUGACCAGCCACACUGGAACUGAGACACGGUCCAGACUCCUACGGGAGGCAGCAGUGGGGAAUAUUGCACAAUGGGCGCAAGCCUGAUGCAGCCAUGCCGCGUGUGUGAAGAAGGCCUUAGGGUUGUAAAGCACUUUCAGCGAGGAGGAAGGCAUCAUACUUAAUACGUGUGGUGAUUGACGUUACUCGCAGAAGAAGCACCGGCUAACUCCGUGCCAGCAGCCGCGGUAAUACGGAGGGUGCAAGCGUUAAUCGGAAUUACUGGGCGUAAAGCGCACGCAGGCGGUUUGUUAAGUCAGAUGUGAAAUCCCCGCGCUUAACGUGGGAACUGCAUUUGAAACUGGCAAGCUAGAGUCUUGUAGAGGGGGGUAGAAUUCCAGGUGUAGCGGUGAAAUGCGUAGAGAUCUGGAGGAAUACCGGUGGCGAAGGCGGCCCCCUGGACAAAGACUGACGCUCAGGUGCGAAGCGUGGGGAGCAAACAGG
RNAcentral lists this ribosomal RNA (758 nucleotides) under uncultured Enterobacteriaceae bacterium. RNAcentral describes it as "bacterial SSU rRNA". It matches the Rfam family "Bacterial small subunit ribosomal RNA", at positions 28 to 776 of the family's 1533-position model. Lineage: Bacteria; Pseudomonadati; Pseudomonadota; Gammaproteobacteria; Enterobacterales; Enterobacteriaceae. The record is from RNAcentral.